This 253-nucleotide ribosomal RNA is filed under the name uncultured bacterium. RNAcentral describes it as "partial 16S ribosomal RNA". It matches the Rfam family "Bacterial small subunit ribosomal RNA", at positions 524 to 776 of the family's 1533-position model. The record is from RNAcentral.
UACGUAGGGGGCAAGCGUUGUCCGGAAUCAUUGGGCGUAAAGCGCGUGUAGGCGGUUCGGUAAGUCCGCUGGGAAAGUCCAGGGCUCAACCCUGGGAUGCCGGUGGAUACUGUCGGACUAGAGUACGGAAGAGGCGAGUGGAAUUCCCGGUGUAGCGGUGAAAUGCGCAGAUAUCGGGAGGAACACCAAUUGCGAAGGCAGCUCGCUGGGACGUCACUGACGCUGAGACGCGAAAGCGUGGGGAGCAAACAGG